Long non-coding RNA from Alosa sapidissima (American shad), 691 nucleotides. RefSeq lists it as uncharacterized. The record is from RefSeq and is a predicted model, not a curated record. Lineage: Eukaryota; Metazoa; Chordata; Actinopteri; Clupeiformes; Clupeidae. The transcript is spliced from 3 exons.
UAUGGGGCGUUUUGUCUGGAACGUUAAAGCGACAGGGACUCGAUAAUCAAAGGGUUUCCUGACAGAUGUAAGCUACGAUUAUGAUGGGCCUUGAAGCAGUUGGGGAGGACUACCAUAAACAACAAGCUGCGCCGUCGUCAGCCAGAUAUUAGUAAUAUAAUGGACAGGAUGAGGCGAGGUGAUGGAGAUGUUCCCUUUUCUUCAGGUGCCAGAGCUUAUGCAUCAUGAAAUGAAGUUGUGGAUGGACUGGACUUAGAGCUAAGCCUGAAAAACACCCUCAGUAUUGACCCCUAAGGGCAAGGUAUUUGAUAUUUUUAACAUUACAAUUAACAUUGCUUUAUGCUGUCAAUUCACAUCUUAGACUCUUACUUAGACUCUUACUAAUUCACAUCUUAGACUCUCUCUUAUUUCUCAUUUAUAUGGAACCACUGAGCGUGUUUCCAACCAACAUUCCAACAUAAAGAUGGAUGGCAUCACAAUAGCAAGUGGAGAGAUGGAUGUGCCACAUGCCCUUGCCACAUGGAGUACCCCAGGCAGAUUAAGCACACGCUGGCUUUUGCAGAGCAUUAUUUGUUCAUGAUACCAAGUCAAAAAAGAGUCUCCUGUAUUGAGACUUUACAAUCAAAUUAGCUAGUCUUUGUUAAUAUUACCUUUUAUUGUAUUAUACAUUUAAUACAUUUGCUUGAUUAUU